UCAUCCCUACGGGAGGCAGCAGUGGGGAAUAUUGGACAAUGGGGGAAACUCUGAUCCAGCGACGCCGCGUGAGUGAAGAAGUGUUUCGGUAUGUAAAGCUCUAUCAGCAGGGAAGAAAAUGACGGUACCUGACUAAGAAGCCCCGGCUAACUACGUGCCAGCAGCCGCGGUAAUACGUAGGGGGCAAGCGUUAUCCGGAUUUACUGAGUGUAAAGGGAGCGUAGACAGCAGGGCAAGUCUGGAGUGAAAGGCAGGGGCCCAGCCCCUGGACUGCUCUGGAAACUGUCCGGCUGGAGUGCAGAAGG
Molecule: ribosomal RNA, 305 nt
Filed under: uncultured bacterium
Lineage: Bacteria
Description: bacterial SSU rRNA
Rfam family: Bacterial small subunit ribosomal RNA
Source: RNAcentral